Molecule: ribosomal RNA, 766 nt
Filed under: uncultured bacterium
Lineage: Bacteria
Description: bacterial SSU rRNA
Rfam family: Bacterial small subunit ribosomal RNA
Source: RNAcentral
GUAGGCGGUUUGUCGCGUCUGCUGUGAAAAUCCGGGGCUCAACCCCGGACUUGCAGUGGGUACGGGCAGACUAGAGUGUGGUAGGGGAGACUGGAAUUCCUGGUGUAGCGGUGAAAUGCGCAGAUAUCAGGAGGAACACCGAUGGCGAAGGCAGGUCUCUGGGCCACUACUGACGCUGAGAAGCGAAAGCAUGGGGAGCGAACAGGAUUAGAUACCCUGGUAGUCCAUGCCGUAAACGUUGGGCGCUAGGUGUGGGACUCAUUCCACGAGUUCCGUGCCGCAGCUAACGCAUUAAGCGCCCCGCCUGGGGAGUACGGCCGCAAGGCUAAAACUCAAAGGAAUUGACGGGGGCCCGCACAAGCGGCGGAGCAUGCGGAUUAAUUCGAUGCAACGCGAAGAACCUUACCAAGGCUUGACAUAUACCGGAAACAUCCAGAGAUGGGUGCCCCUUUUGGUCGGUAUACAGGUGGUGCAUGGUUGUCGUCAGCUCGUGUCGUGAGAUGUUGGGUUAAGUCCCGCAACGAGCGCAACCCUCGUUCUAUGUUGCCAGCACGUGAUGGUGGGGACUCAUAGGAGACUGCCGGGGUCAACUCGGAGGAAGGUGGGGAUGACGUCAAAUCAUCAUGCCCCUUAUGUCUUGGGCUUCACGCAUGCUACAAUGGCCGGUACAAAGGGCUGCGAUACCGUAAGGUGGAGCGAAUCCCAAAAAACCGGUCUCAGUUCGGAUUGGGGUCUGCAACUCGACCCCAUGAAGUCGGAGUCGCUA